RNAcentral lists this ribosomal RNA (909 nucleotides) under Phacidium pseudophacidioides. RNAcentral describes it as "LSU rRNA". It matches the Rfam family "Eukaryotic large subunit ribosomal RNA", at positions 38 to 963 of the family's 3401-position model. Lineage: Eukaryota; Fungi; Ascomycota; Leotiomycetes; Phacidiales; Phacidiaceae. The record is from RNAcentral.
GCAUAUCAAUAAGCGGAGGAAAAGAAACCAACAGGGAUUGCCUCAGUAACGGCGAGUGAAGCGGCAACAGCUCAAAUUUGAAAUCUGGCUCUUUCAGGGUCCGAGUUGUAAUUUGUAGAGGAUGUUUCGGGUGUGGCUCCGGUCUAAGUUCCUUGGAACAGGACGUCAUAGAGGGUGAGAAUCCCGUAUGUGACUGGUAGCCUAUGCUCAUGUGAAACUCCUUCGACGAGUCGAGUUGUUUGGGAAUGCAGCUCAAAAUGGGUGGUAAAUUUCAUCUAAAGCUAAAUAUUGGCCAGAGACCGAUAGCGCACAAGUAGAGUGAUCGAAAGAUGAAAAGCACUUUGGAAAGAGAGUUAAACAGUACGUGAAAUUGUUGAAAGGGAAGCGCUUGCAACCAGACUUGCAUGUAGCUGAUCAACCGGUGUUCUCACCGGUGCACUCAGUUGCGUUCAGGCCAGCAUCGGUUUCGACGGUUGGAUAAAGGCCUUGGGAAUGUAGCUUCUUUCGGGGAGUGUUAUAGCCCAGGGUGCAAUGCAGCCUGUCGGGACCGAGGACCGCGCUUCGGCUAGGAUGCUGGCGUAAUGGUUGUAAGCGACCCGUCUUGAAACACGGACCAAGGAGUCUAACAUCUAUGCGAGUGUUUGGGUGUCAAACCCAUACGCGUAAUGAAAGUGAACGGAGGUGAGAACCCUUAAGGGUGCAUCAUCGACCGAUCCUGAUGUCUUCGGAUGGAUUUGAGUAAGAGCAUAGCUGUUGGGACCCGAAAGAUGGUGAACUAUGCCUGAAUAGGGUGAAGCCAGAGGAAACUCUGGUGGAGGCUCGCAGCGGUUCUGACGUGCAAAUCGAUCGUCAAAUUUGGGUAUAGGGGGCGAAAGACUAAUCGAACUAUCUAGUAGCUGGCUCUGCGAG